This 507-nucleotide ribosomal RNA is filed under the name uncultured Lacibacter sp. Its description in RNAcentral is "bacterial SSU rRNA". It matches the Rfam family "Bacterial small subunit ribosomal RNA", at positions 521 to 1028 of the family's 1533-position model. The record is from RNAcentral. Lineage: Bacteria; Pseudomonadati; Bacteroidota; Chitinophagia; Chitinophagales; Chitinophagaceae.
UAAUACGGAGGGUGCAAGCGUUAUCCGGAUUCACUGGGUUUAAAGGGAGCGUAGGUGGGCUUUUAAGUCAGUGGUGAAAUCUUUGGGCUUAACCCGAAAACUGCCAUUGAUACUAUUAGUCUUGAAUUCUCUGGAGGUAAGCGGAAUAUGUCAUGUAGCGGUGAAAUGCUUAGAUAUGACAUAGAACACCCAUUGCGAAGGCAGCUUACUACGGAGACAUUGACACUGAGGCUCGAAAGCGUGGGGAUCAAACAGGAUUAGAUACCCUGGUAGUCCACGCCCUAAACGAUGAUUACUCGACAUUAGCGAUAUUACAGUUAGUGUCUAAGCGAAAGCAUUAAGUAAUCCACCUGGGAAGUACGACCGCAAGGUUGAAACUCAAAGGAAUUGGCGGGGGUCCGCACAAGUGGUGGAGCAUGUGGUUUAAUUCGAUGAUACGCGAGGAACCUUACCUGGGCUAGAAUGCUGGGAGACCGCAGGUGAAAGCCUGUUUUGUAGCAAUACACU